GUCUAUGCGCCAAAUCACCCUAAAUCCGCUCAAUCUCAUAAGAUCUAGGAAACUAAGCAGAGUUAAGCCUUGUUAGUACUCGGAUGGGUUGCCCAACAGUGCUUGCCAGGUGUUGUAGGCG
Molecule: ribosomal RNA, 121 nt
Filed under: Petromyzon marinus (sea lamprey)
Lineage: Eukaryota; Metazoa; Chordata; Hyperoartia; Petromyzontiformes; Petromyzontidae
Source: RNAcentral